GGGAGAAUUCCCGAGCGGCCAAAGGGAGCAGACUGUAAAUCUGUUGCUUUAUGCUUCGGUGGUUCGAAUCCACCUUCUCCCACCA
Molecule: transfer RNA, 85 nt
Filed under: Oscillospiraceae bacterium
Lineage: Bacteria; Bacillati; Bacillota; Clostridia; Eubacteriales; Oscillospiraceae
Description: tRNA-Tyr
Rfam family: tRNA
About the family: Transfer RNA (tRNA) molecules are approximately 80 nucleotides in length. Their secondary structure includes four short double-helical elements and three loops (D, anti-codon, and T loops). Further hydrogen bonds mediate the characteristic L-shaped molecular structure. tRNAs have two regions of fundamental functional importance: the anti-codon, which is responsible for specific mRNA codon recognition, and the 3' end, to which the tRNAs corresponding amino acid is attached (by aminoacyl-tRNA synthetases). tRNAs cope with the degeneracy of the genetic code in two manners: having more than one tRNA (with a specific anti-codon) for a particular amino acid; and 'wobble' base-pairing, i.e. permitting non-standard base-pairing at the 3rd anti-codon position.
Source: RNAcentral